RNAcentral lists this ribosomal RNA (104 nucleotides) under Candidatus Brocadia sinica. RNAcentral's name for it is "partial 16S ribosomal RNA". The stretch from base 1 to 93 matches the Rfam family "Bacterial small subunit ribosomal RNA", at positions 1441 to 1533 of the family's 1533-position model. Lineage: Bacteria; Pseudomonadati; Planctomycetota; Candidatus Brocadiia; Candidatus Brocadiales; Candidatus Brocadiaceae. The record is from RNAcentral.
UAAGGGAUGGAAGUGCUUAAGGUGUGUUUUGUGAGGAGGACUAAGUCGUAACAAGGUAGUCGUAGGAGAACCUGCGGCUGGAUCACCUCCUUUCUAAGGAAUAA